GAUUAACGCUGGCGGCGUGCAUAACACAUGCAAGUCGAACGAUGAAACUUAAAUGAUUUCUUCGGAAUGAACUUAAGUGGAUUAGUGGCGGACGGGUGAGUAACGCGUGAGUAACCUGCCUUACACAAGGGGAUAGCCGUUGGAAACGACGAAUAAUACCCUAUGAAACUAUCACUUCGCAUGAAGCGAUAGUCAAAGUGUUAGCGGUGUAAGAUGGACUUGCGUCUGAUUAGCUAGUUGGUGAGAAAAAAGCCCACCAAGGCAACGAUCAGUAGCCGGCUGGAGAGAGUGUACGGCCACAUUGGGACUGAGACACGGACCAGACUCCGACGGGAGGCAGCAGUGGGGAAUUUUGCACAAUGGGGGAAACCCUGAUGCAGCGACGCCGCGUGAUUUAGAAGGCCUUCGGGUUGUAAAAAUCUUUUGUAUAGGAAGAAAAUGACAGUACUAUACGAAUAAGGUCCGGCUAAUUACGUG
RNAcentral lists this ribosomal RNA (477 nucleotides) under uncultured bacterium. RNAcentral describes it as "partial 16S ribosomal RNA". It matches the Rfam family "Bacterial small subunit ribosomal RNA", at positions 28 to 507 of the family's 1533-position model. The record is from RNAcentral.